This 411-nucleotide ribosomal RNA is filed under the name uncultured bacterium. RNAcentral's name for it is "bacterial SSU rRNA". It matches the Rfam family "Bacterial small subunit ribosomal RNA", at positions 28 to 432 of the family's 1533-position model. The record is from RNAcentral.
GAUGAACGCUGGCGGCGUGCCUAACACAUGCAAGUCGAAACGGACUUACAUUGAAGCCUAGCGAUAUGUAAGUUAGUGGCGGACGGGUGAGUAACGCGUGGGUAACCUGCCUUGUACUGGGGGACAACAGUUGGAAACGACUGCUAAUACCGCAUAAGCGCACAGUACCGCAUGGUACAGUGUGAAAAACUCCGGUGGUAUAAGAUGGACCCGCGUCUGAUUAGCUGGUUGGUGAGGUAACGGCCCACCAAGGCGACGAUCAGUAGCCGACCUGAGAGGGUGACCGGCACAUUGGGACUGAGACACGGCCCAAACUCCUACGGGAGGCAGCAGUGGGGAAUAUUGCACAAUGGGGGAAACCCUGAUGCAGCGACGCCGCGUGAGCGAAGAAGUAUUUCGGUAUGUAAAGCU